RNAcentral lists this ribosomal RNA (397 nucleotides) under uncultured bacterium. RNAcentral's name for it is "partial 16S ribosomal RNA". It matches the Rfam family "Bacterial small subunit ribosomal RNA", at positions 523 to 918 of the family's 1533-position model. The record is from RNAcentral.
AUACGUAGGGGGCGAGCGUUGUCCGGAAUGAUUGGGCGUAAAGGGCGCGUAGGCGGCGCGGUAAGUCUGGAGUGAAAGUCCUGCUUUCAAGGUGGGAAUUGCUUUGGAUACUGUCGGGCUUGAGUGCAGGGGAGGUAAGUGGAAUUCCCAGUGUAGCGGUGAAAUGCGUAGAGAUUGGGAGGAACACCAGUGGCGAGGGCGACUUACUGGACUGUAACUGACGCUGAGGCGCGAAAGUGUGGGGAGCAAACAGGAUUAGAUACCCUGGUAGUCCACACUGUAAACGAUGAAUGCUAGGUGUAGGGGGUAUCGACCCCUUCUGUGCCGCAGUCAACACAAUAAGCAUUCCGCCUGGGGAGUACGGCCGCAAGGUUGAAACUCAAAGGAAUUGACGGGG